UCUCUCUCUUUGGCUAUAGGCUUUUCACAGAUAUGGUCAGAUGUAGGCUACCAGUGCCCAGAAAGAAGAUUGAAGGAAAAGGUGAGGACUCUAAUGGCAGCCCAGGAGCCCUGAUAGUACUGAAACCUUCUCCCGUCCCCCAACCUCCUCAGGCCGGCACAGUUAGGCUUGAGGGACUGAAGGGAUUUUACUUCCGCUUGGCUGCAGGAACCAUAAGUCCCAGACAAGAUCCGAAUUGGAAUAAUCACAUUCAAAAUACACCAAGAUGUUCUCAUACACCCAGAAGCGCGCGCAUCCUUGGGCCAUGGGGCGCACGCGAGCACACGCCCCGCGCACCCAGCCCUGCCGCUCUCCAGAGCAUCCUCAGCAGCUGCCACAGAAGCAGCCUCCUCCUCCUCUUCCUCCUGCUCCUGCCAUCACCGCCGCCGCUGUUACAGUGUCUCCUAUCCGCUCUCAUCCUCUUUCCUCCCGCAGUUCCUGCUGCUCCUCCUCUCCUCACGAGCUCCUCCUGCCCAACAGCAAAGGGCAGAAACCUCGGCAGCUGCUCCUCUGCGUUCGGGCCGCGAAGAGGCUGGAACAGAUGGGCAGCUGGAGUUGAUGAAUGCUAUCAAAAGCAGGACUUGUGAUUUUUCUCCUACAAGUACAUUC
Molecule: long non-coding RNA, 648 nt
Filed under: Dasypus novemcinctus (nine-banded armadillo)
Lineage: Eukaryota; Metazoa; Chordata; Mammalia; Cingulata; Dasypodidae
Description: lncRNA (ENSDNOG00000050205.1)
Source: RNAcentral